UUCAAGCUCAUCAAUUACAUUGCUACUCAUGGAGAGGGUCGUUGGAACUCUCUCGCUCGCUGCGCAGGCCUCAAGCGAACCGGAAAGAGUUGCAGAUUGAGAUGGAUAAAUUAUUUAAGGCCUGAUCUCAAAAGAGGGAAUUUUACAGAAGAAGAAGAUGAAUUGAUAAUCAAACUUCAUAGUUUGCUUGGAAACAAAUGGUCAGUUAUAGCCGGAAGAUUACCUGGAAGAACGGAUAACGAAAUCAAGAACUAUUGGAAUACACAUAUUAAACGAAAACUCAUUAGUCGUGGCAUUGAUCCUCAAACUCACCGUCCACUCAACAACAACGCCACUAACUCCCACACCACCACCAAUAUCACCACCGCAGUCACAACCAAAAACAUCAACUUGGAUUUCACAAACGUUGACCAAAAACAACCCAAUAUUAUGAUUGCCACGUCAUCGUCAUAUGAUGAAACAAAAUGCAACAGUGGUACAACUGAGGAAACAAAGCCACUAGAAAUUAUUAUUCCAAAAAUACCCUCACAAGUUAUGAUUAAUCUUGAACUUUCAAUUGGGUUGCCGUUACAUACUGAUCAUAUUUCUUCACCAGAGUCAACGGCCUCAUACAACUUCUUGACCACCGUAGCACCGCCGCCAACUGCGGCGGUACCGGCGGCGGAGAUGAUGGCGAAGACUGUUUGUUUGUGUUGGCAAAUUGGAUAUCAUGGUGGUGGCGGUCAGUGGUGUGGUAAAUGCAAAAACACAAAUGGAUUUUACAGAUAUUGCUGACGUGGCCUCUUUUUGGAUAUUAUUAAGUACCUUAGUACUAAAUUUAUUUUUUUCCUUAAUAUUACUUUACCAUUUUGUGAUAAGUGAAUAUUUUGGGUUUUG
RNAcentral lists this unclassified non-coding RNA (876 nucleotides) under Hevea brasiliensis (rubber tree). Lineage: Eukaryota; Viridiplantae; Streptophyta; Magnoliopsida; Malpighiales; Euphorbiaceae. The record is from RNAcentral.